AUGAAUGCUCUGAAUGAACAAAACCAGCAGGAAGUCGGCGUGCCGGCCUCUGGCUGGACAUUGUCCACGUGUGCCCAGCGAUCUCUGCAUCCCCCAAAGCCAGGGCGUCUUGGGAGAGGAGAGGUCCCCAGAGGAGCAGCUUGGGUGGCAGCCAGCACAUGUGAGUGGGGCCGGAAACCAGCGGGAGGGCAUGCAGCUGGACUGAGACCAGCACUGCAGAGAGGGGAGCGUCGCCCAGACAGGAGGGGCAGCAGCCGCGUGACCCGCCCUGGGGUGUGUGCAGAGGGGCCGAGGGAAGGGCCUGGCACACUUAGUCACAGGCCUGUUCAGCUGGGGGGGGGGGGGGGAGGCUCACGAAUGGGGCCGCCUGUGUCCUGCAAAGCAGACCGAGAGUGCUCGCUGGGCACAAGCAGAGCGUGAGUGUGCGUGGUGGGGAAGACACUGCCCGAGGCAAGCUCGCCGCCCGGGUACACCAGCACCGGUCUGUGACGACCUGGAGGGAAAGGCAGAAUUGGCUGGUGUGGCUGAGCAGCAAAGGGGACGGGAGGCGGGGCUCGCGGCUGCCUCCCCGCUCGGGGGCCUGGCGCAAGCUUUACGGCUCAGGUGGGAAAAACCUAUUGGCAGAGGCACUGGCGAGGCAGGGGCAGGUGGAGGGAGGGCAGGAGGCCAUGUGACGGUUAGGGAGAUGGGCUGCCUGGCACGGGGCCCCUCCCUUCUUAAAGGUUCGAGCACCCAGGUUCUGCCCAACUCUGGUCCCUAGUCCCCCAAGUGCGCAUGCCCAGGUUGUGUGCCCUGCAGUCUGGGACUCUGUGUUCCCCGUGCACCUGCACCACUGAGUCUGACUCGGCUCCCCUAAGAAUACAGGCCCUUUGCAAAUAUGACCCAGGUGGGGUCGGCCCAGUGGUUAAGCCUCCUGCUGAGACAGCCGCAUCCCACUGAGAGUUCCUGCAUGGAUUCCCGGCUCCAGCUUCCUGCUGCUGCAGACCCGGGAGGCAGUGGUGACGCCUCAAGUAGUUGGGCCCCUGCCACCACGCGGGAGACCUGGGUGGAGUUGCUGGCUCCUGGCUUUGGCCUGGCCCAGCCCCGGUUGCGGAGGGCAUUUGAGGAGUGAACCAGCCGGUAUACUCUCCCUCCCUUGUCUCUCAAAUAAACAAAUAUGUAAAAUAAAAAUAUGAUGACA
This 1180-nucleotide long non-coding RNA is filed under the name Oryctolagus cuniculus (rabbit). RNAcentral's name for it is "lncRNA (ENSOCUG00000037459.1)". The record is from RNAcentral. Lineage: Eukaryota; Metazoa; Chordata; Mammalia; Lagomorpha; Leporidae.